GAUGGAAGAACGUAGCGAAAUGCGAUAAGUAAUGUGAAUUGCAGAAUUCAGUGAAUCAUCGAAUCUUUGAACGCAUCUUGCGCUCCUUGGUAUUCUGAGGAGCAUGCCUGUUUGAGUGUCAUUAAAUUCUCAACUACACUGACUUUGAAUUGGUGUGGCUUGGAUUUGGGGGGAAAAUUGUUGUGGGCUUUUUGUAUAGUCUGCUCCCCUGAAAUUGAUUAGCGGUACCUUUGUGGAACUGUCUACAGGUGUGAUAAUUAUCUACAUCUGCUGGAAUGCUGCUUUCUAAACCUUACUUGUAUUGACAAUCUUGACCUCAAAUCAGGUAGGACUACCCGCUGAACUUAAGCAUAUCAAUAAGCGGAGGA
RNAcentral lists this unclassified non-coding RNA (368 nucleotides) under soil metagenome. RNAcentral describes it as "partial contains 5.8S ribosomal RNA, internal transcribed spacer 2, and large subunit ribosomal RNA". The stretch from base 5 to 121 matches the Rfam family "5.8S ribosomal RNA", at positions 38 to 154 of the family's 154-position model. The record is from RNAcentral.